This 391-nucleotide ribosomal RNA is filed under the name Chrysophyceae sp. RNAcentral describes it as "partial small subunit ribosomal RNA". It matches the Rfam family "Eukaryotic small subunit ribosomal RNA", at positions 582 to 975 of the family's 1831-position model. Lineage: Eukaryota; Chrysophyceae. The record is from RNAcentral.
AUUCCAGCUCCAAUAGCGUAUACUAAAGUUGUUGCAGUUAAAAAGCUCGUAGUUGAAUUUCUGGUCGUGGCGACCGGUCCGCCCCUCACGGGGUGUGCACCUGGUCUCUGCGUCCAUCCUCGGGGAGAGCGCGUCUGGCAUUCAGUUGUCGGGCGCGGGAUCCUCGUCAUUUACUGUGAGCAAAAUAGAGUGUUCAAAGCAGGCUUAGGCCGUUGAAUACAUUAGCAUGGAAUAAUAAGAUAGGACCUUGGUCUAUUUUGUUGGUUUGCAUUCCAAGGUAAUGAUUAAUAGGGAUAGUUGGGGGUAUUUAUAUUCCGAUGUCAGAGGUGAAAUUCUUAGAUUUUCGGAAGAUAAACUUAUGCGAAAGCAUUUACCAAGGAUGUUUUCAUCG